CACGUAGGGUGCGAGCGUUGUCCGGAAUUAUUGGGCGUAAAGAGCUCGUAGGCGGUGUGUCGCGUCGGCCGUGAAAACCUGCAGCUUAACUGUGGGCUUGCGGUCGAUACGGGCAUCACUGGAGUUCGGCAGGGGAGACUGGAAUUCCCGGUGUAGUGGUGAAAUGCGUAGAUAUCGGGAGGAACAUCGGCGGCGAAGGCGGCUUCCUGGCCCAUUACUGACGUUCAGGUACGAAAGCGUGGGUAGCAAACAGG
This 254-nucleotide ribosomal RNA is filed under the name uncultured bacterium. RNAcentral's name for it is "partial 16S ribosomal RNA". It matches the Rfam family "Bacterial small subunit ribosomal RNA", at positions 524 to 776 of the family's 1533-position model. The record is from RNAcentral.